RNAcentral lists this ribosomal RNA (294 nucleotides) under uncultured bacterium. RNAcentral describes it as "partial 16S ribosomal RNA". It matches the Rfam family "Bacterial small subunit ribosomal RNA", at positions 44 to 334 of the family's 1533-position model. The record is from RNAcentral.
GUGCCUAACACAUGCAAGUCGAGCGAGAAAAGGGGGGCAACUCCCUGAGUACAGCGGCGCACGGGUGAGUAACACGUGGGUAAUCUGCCCUGGAGUGGGGAAUAACACCGGGAAACCGGUGCUAAUACCGCAUACGAUAGCGGGAUCUGCGGAUUUCGUUAUGAAAGGAGCAAUUCGCUCCAGGAGGAGCCCGCGGCUGAUUAGCUAGUUGGUGAGGUAAUGGCUCACCAAGGCUACGAUCAGUAUCCGGUCUGAGAGGACGGUCGGACACACUGGAACUGAGACACGGUCCAG